GAUGAAGAACGUAGCGAAAUGCGAUACUUGGUGUGAAUUGCAGAAUCCCGUGAACCAUCGAGUCUUUGAACGCAAGUUGCGCCCGAAGCCACUAGGCCGAGGGCACGCCUGCCUGGGCGUCACACGUCGUUGCCCCCCCCCCAUCUACUCCUUCGGGAUUGCGGGGGGCGGAUGAUGGCCUCCCGUGCGCCUAGCCGCGCGGUUGGCAUAAAUACCAAGUCCUCGGCGACGCACGCCACGACAAUCGGUGGUUGCGAAACCUCGGUUGCCCGUCGUGUGCGUUCGUCGCGCAUCGAGGGCUCGAAAAAAUGCUCGGCUCCGGAUCGGCUUUCAACGCGACCCCAGGUCAGGCGGGGUUACCCGCUGAAUUUAAGCAUAUCAAUAAGCGGAGGA
Molecule: unclassified non-coding RNA, 393 nt
Filed under: soil metagenome
Description: partial contains 5.8S ribosomal RNA, internal transcribed spacer 2, and large subunit ribosomal RNA
Rfam family: 5.8S ribosomal RNA (bases 1-122)
Source: RNAcentral